Molecule: ribosomal RNA, 253 nt
Filed under: uncultured bacterium
Lineage: Bacteria
Description: partial 16S ribosomal RNA
Rfam family: Bacterial small subunit ribosomal RNA
Source: RNAcentral
UACAGAGGGUGCAAGCGUUGCUCGGAAUUAUUGGGCGUAAAGGGUAGGUAGGUGGUCUUAUUUGUCGGUGGUGAAAGCCUUGGGCUUAACCCAAGAAGUGCCUUCGAAACGGUGAGACUGGAGUCCUGGAGAGGGUCGUGGAAUUCCCGGUGUAGCGGUGAAAUGCGUAGAGAUCGGAAGGAACAUCAAUGGCGAAGGCAGCCGCCUGGGCCUGGACUGACACUGAGGCACGAAAGCGUGGGUAGCAAACAGG